AUGAAAGCAGCUAUAGAAGCAUUCAUUGCAGCUUGUCUCAUCUGUCAAAGAGCCCUUAAAAAUUGUCUGCAGCCUGGGUUGUUAGAACCCUUGCCAAUAGCUGACAUGGCUUGGCAGCACAUAUCCAUGGACUUCAUAGAAGGGCUGCCAAAUUCUGAAGGGAAGGAAGUAAUACUAGUGGUUGUGGAUAGAUUCACAAAGUAUGCAGAUUUUAUACCCCUAGCUCACCCUUAUAAUGUGAUGAGUGUAGCCCAAGCAUUCAUGGAUAAUAUCAUCAGAUUGCAUGGACCUCCCAAGCUCAUUAUAUCAGAUAGGGAUAGGAUAUUCACUAGCAAGUUAUGGAAAGAUAUUUUUGCUGCUAUGAAAAGUGAAUUGAGAUACAACACAUCCUACCAUCCACAAACCGAUGGACAAACAGAGAGAGUUAACCAGUGUGUAGAAACUUACCUCAGAUGCAUGACCACAUCUCAGCCAAAGAAGUGGUGUUCCUGGUUACCUUUAGCUGAGUUUUGGUACAACACCACUUAUCACAUUGCAUUGAAAAUGUCUCCCUUCCAGGCUUUGUAUCGUUUUCCCCCACCAAUGAUAUCUGAAUUGGCAAUUCCUGGCCCUGAGGAAGAGGAAGCCCAAAAUUUCCUAACUGCUAAACAGGAUAUGUUGGAACAAUUGAAAGACAACUUGUAG
RNAcentral lists this ribosomal RNA (684 nucleotides) under Triticum aestivum (bread wheat). RNAcentral describes it as "partial small subunit ribosomal RNA". The record is from RNAcentral. Lineage: Eukaryota; Viridiplantae; Streptophyta; Magnoliopsida; Poales; Poaceae.